UGACUGUGUCCCUGAGUGUGAUUUUCAGU
RNAcentral lists this non-coding RNA (29 nucleotides) under Rattus norvegicus (Norway rat). Lineage: Eukaryota; Metazoa; Chordata; Mammalia; Rodentia; Muridae. The record is from RNAcentral.